RNAcentral lists this transfer RNA (71 nucleotides) under Marmota monax (woodchuck). RNAcentral describes it as "tRNA.Ala". It matches the Rfam family "tRNA". From Rfam's summary of the family: Transfer RNA (tRNA) molecules are approximately 80 nucleotides in length. Their secondary structure includes four short double-helical elements and three loops (D, anti-codon, and T loops). Lineage: Eukaryota; Metazoa; Chordata; Mammalia; Rodentia; Sciuridae. The record is from RNAcentral.
GGGGUUGUAGCUUAGUGGUUGAGUGCUUGCCUUGCAUGCAUGAGGCACUGGGUUUGAUCCUCAGCACCACA